Molecule: long non-coding RNA, 559 nt
Filed under: Oryza sativa Indica Group (long-grained rice)
Lineage: Eukaryota; Viridiplantae; Streptophyta; Magnoliopsida; Poales; Poaceae
Description: lncRNA OsZS97_05G004590
Source: RNAcentral
AUGAGACGCGACGCGAGGUGGGCCGUCCGACUCCGAUCUGCUUUGAGAUUCGGGGGCCGAGGCCCAAGGCCCACACUGACGAGGGGAGAGCGUAGGCAAAUCCGGGAUUCCGGCGAGGGCGGCGGCGCCGGCGCCGGCGAGACGGCGAACGCUCCUCCGGUGCGGGAGGAGAUGAGGGAGGGAGAGAGGGACGGCGUUCGUGGUGGGGAUUCACCGGCUGCGACGGGCGCUCGGUACCAGUGCUUGAGGGUGUGCCGGGGGAAGAACUUACUGUCGGUGUCCGGAUGGAAGAAGCCGAGCGCGAACCUGCCAUUGCGAGAGACAAGCUUCUCAUCUUUCGGGAGUGCUUCACCGGCUGAAAUCGUGUCCGUUGCAGCAGAACACGCCGGAGAAUGUAUGGAGAAGAGCAGAGGCACAAGAAUGAUGAAGGUACGAAGCAUGGUGAAUGAAGAGGAUAAGAACGAGGAAUGCGAUUUCGGUGUUUGGGGGUGCUGGUGUGUCACGCCCGGAAUUUCUAUCCAAAAUUCCAAACGCUUACAUGUGUGUUAAACCCUCGUCC